CAGCAGCCGCCGCGGUAAUACGUAGGGUGCAAGCGUUAAUCGGAAUUACUGGGCGUAAAGCGUGCGCAGGCGGUUAUAUAAGACAGAUGUGAAAUCCCCGGGCUCAACCUGGGAACUGCAUUUGUGACUGUAUAGCUAGAGUACGGCAGAGGGGGAUGGAAUUCCGCGUGUAGCAGUGAAAUGCGUAGAUAUGCGGAGGAACACCGAUGGCGAAGGCAAUCCCCUGGGCCUGUACUGACGCUCAUGCACGAAAGCGUGGGGAGCAAACAGGAUUAGAUACCCGCGUAGUCCCUGUCUCUUAUAC
Molecule: ribosomal RNA, 304 nt
Filed under: uncultured bacterium
Lineage: Bacteria
Description: partial 16S ribosomal RNA
Rfam family: Bacterial small subunit ribosomal RNA
Source: RNAcentral